This 418-nucleotide ribosomal RNA is filed under the name uncultured prokaryote. Its description in RNAcentral is "bacterial SSU rRNA". It matches the Rfam family "Archaeal small subunit ribosomal RNA", at positions 455 to 873 of the family's 1478-position model. The record is from RNAcentral.
GUGCCAGCAGCCGCGGUAACACCAGCCCCUCGAGUGGUGGGGACGUUUAUUUGGCCUAAAGCGUCCGUAGCCGGCCGGGUAAGUCUCCCGUUAAAUCCAGCGUCUCAAGCGUUGGGCUGCGGGAGAUACUGUCCGGCUAGAGAGUGGGAGAGGUCAGCGGUAUUCCUGGGGUAGGGGCGAAAUCCUUUGAUCCCAGGAGGACCACCAGUGGCGAAGGCUGCUGACUAGAACACGUCUGACGGUCAGGGUCGAAAGCUGGGGUAGCGAACCGGAUUAGAUACCCGGGUAGUCCCAGCCGUAAACGAUGCAUGCUAGGUGUUGGGUUGGCCACGAGCCACCCCAGUGCCGCAGGGAAGCCAUUAAGCCCGCCGCCUGGGGAGUACGGCCGCAAGGCUGAAACUUAAAUGAAUUGGCGGGG